Small nucleolar RNA from Notamacropus eugenii (tammar wallaby), 66 nucleotides. Its record names the gene SNORD58. It matches the Rfam family "Small nucleolar RNA SNORD58". From Rfam's summary of the family: snoRNA U58 is found in introns 1, 3 and 6 of the ribosomal protein RPL17 gene in humans. U58 is a member of the C/D class of snoRNA which contain C (UGAUGA) and D (CUGA) box motifs. The record is from Ensembl. Lineage: Eukaryota; Metazoa; Chordata; Mammalia; Diprotodontia; Macropodidae.
UUGCCAUGAUGACAAUCUUAGGACACCUUUGGAAUAACCAUGAAAAAAACUUGUAUUCUGAGCAAC